Long non-coding RNA from Ictalurus punctatus (channel catfish), 547 nucleotides. NCBI's taxonomy places the organism in Eukaryota, Metazoa, Chordata, Actinopteri, Siluriformes, Ictaluridae. The record is from Ensembl.
AAAAAGUUUGAAAAGAGAAAGAUCAGAGAGAGAAGGAGACAGCGAAGGAUAGACGGACAGAGUUUCCUCUCCGAGAAGGAAAAGAAGAGAGAGAGAGAAGGGAUGGAUGUUUUAGAAAAACACUGAUAAAAGAAGAUCGAUAGACGGAAAGAGGUCAGAGGAGGUGGAGAGAGAGACGGGUCGGAGGAGAGAGAGGCGGGACAGAGGAGAGAUACAGGUAGGAGGAGAGAGACGGCUCGGAGGACAGAGACACGGCUCAGGGGAGAGAGACACUCAGCUCGGAGGAGAGAGACACUCAGCUCGGAGGAGAGAGACACUCAGCUCGGAGGAGAGAGACACUCAGCUCGGAGGAGAGAGACACUCAGCUCGGAGGAGAGAGACACUCAGCUCGGAGGACAGAGACACUCAGCUCGGAGGACAGGUAGGCGGACAGAGACACGGCUCAGGGAGAGAGAACACUCAGCUCGGAGGAGAGAGACAGGUAGGAGGAGAGAGAGACACUCAGCUCGGAGGAGAGAGACAGGUAGGAGGAGAGAGACACUCAGCU